Arabidopsis lyrata subsp. lyrata is the source of this 1941-nucleotide long non-coding RNA. RefSeq lists it as uncharacterized. The record is from RefSeq and is a predicted model, not a curated record. The transcript is spliced from 4 exons. NCBI's taxonomy places the organism in Eukaryota, Viridiplantae, Streptophyta, Magnoliopsida, Brassicales, Brassicaceae.
AGAUCUAAGAAACUUUUUUAUUUUUUUAACAGAACAAGUGAAUAUAGCCAUUUUUAAACUAGGAAGAAUUGGAGUCCUUGAUGGUCUAGCUAGCUCGUGAGAAUUGUAGCAACAUCCGGCAUAAACGCACCAUCAUCAUUUCUCCAAGAAGGGAGGGAUGCAUGUAAUAUCCAUUGAGGGAGUUGGGUAAGAUUUACUUCUUUCAGGUUCUGGAGAUUCUUUGUCACUGUUAUGAUAUUGAUUCUCUCAGGAGUCUUUGUCAUCAUCUCAUGGUUCCCAAUGUGGGUUUUUUUGUACUCUCUCGGGUUUAUCAUGUCAAUGAAUUCGUUAUUAACAGAAGCUGCAGCAGCAAUGAAUUCAUACUGGACAGAGAUGUGGGCAUGAUGAUACUGGACAGAGAUGUGGGCAUGAUGAUAACUGGUGAUCGCCAUAGUUCUUUUGCUUGAUAUGACUGCUCUCAAAGCCACCUUGUUCUUUGAAUUUUGCUUUCUGACUAGUACUGUGAUCGGUUCUUGCAUUACUUGCUUCUUCUCUAAUCAUAACACCCAAAUGCUUGCUUCUUUAAUAAUACUUGUUUUGGAGCUUGGAAUCAAAGGAAGCAUCGGAUUUGAGGGGUUUUCAACAUUCUCUUGGCUAUUUUCGAUUUGAUUUCUCUUCCAAGUAGUACCUCUGGGUUUUUAUGGGUUUACAUUGGUUUUGAAAUCAGAAUUGAUUUGAGUUCGGUUAAUAUUGGUUUAAAGGAGAAAACCAAAAAAAAUAAGACACGCGAUGGGAUUUUGAGAAAGAGGUGCGUGGACCAAAAAAGGCAUGAUUUCUGUGGAUAAACCCCUUUAGAAAUCGGAGACACGCGCUCAACGCGAGAUGGGUGAGAGUGGGUGUGAAAUCACGCGAUCGGUAAAAGUGGGGUAUGAAGUGGAGCUCGCUGAUUGGCUAAAAAACUAAAAAUAGUAGACAUGUUGGAGCAUAUAACUGAAAACUGGAUUCAAAGAAUAGAAGCUGAAGAAAUCAAACAAAGAGAUGAACUUUAAUGUUUUCCAUCACACAUUACUCCCACUCUCUUCACCACUGCACAUUGCAAAGGUUGCUCAAGUUGCUCUCUUAAUAGGUUCCAAAUGCCUCAAAACCUGUUAUUGCUCUCUGGUCGUUUUGAUUGCCUCUGAUAUGUAUGGUGCUGCAGUUUUAGACGCUUGUGAGCAUAUUAUAGCAAGAAUGGAGCCUGUUGCAUCUUAACACAAUUUCAACACAUUCCCUGAGCCAUUGAUAUUGGACAAGUGCGCAUUCUUCUCUCAAAGUCCUAGGAGUUUAGCUGUUAGUUGGCCUUUUGAAAUCUUUAAAAUCCAAGAGAAUCAGAAAGAGAAGUGUUGUGUUUGAAAUCCACCAUUUGCUACAAGGAGCGUUUGUACAAGGACUAGGUUGGGUAGCUUUAGAAGAGCUCAAGUGGGGAGAUGCAGCUCAUACAUGGAGUAUACCAGGAGCUUUACUCACUUGCGGACCUGGAAACUACAAAAUACCUUCCAUUAACGACAUUCCAUUCGAACUCAAUGUUUCUCUUCUCAAAGUAUGCUACCAUAAGAAGAAGCUCUUUAAAUUGGUAGCAACACAUUUGCAACUGAUGAACCUGAGAUUAUACUUUGUUUAAUCAGGGGAAUCCGAAUAAACAGGCAAUACAUUCAUCUAAAGCAGUGGGUGAGCCACCGUUCUUUCUUUCAGCAUCGUGAUAAAGGAAGCGGCCACAAGCGAGGUAGUACUCACCAACUGGUUCCCUCCAGCCACUCCAGAGCAUAUCAGGAUGGCUUGUUUCGACGAGUUUUCAGCUCCAUUUGUAAAUUCAGAUUUCUGCCCAAAGCUUAGUUUUCAACUAUGUGAGUUGCUUCCAGUCUCCAAUACAUGUAAAAUUACAAAGUUAUAUGUUUCUUCAAAUCAGCAACUUUGUUGACUCAA